GAAACUUGUAUAUUAUAUUCAUUCAUUACACACAGACAAAAAUGUGGGGGAGAUUCACAAAGAGUGGACUGCAGCUGGAGUCGGUGCUUCAAGAACCACUACGCACAGACGUAUGCAAGACAUGGGUUUCAGCCGUCGCAUUCCUUGUGUCAAGCCACUCUUGAACAACAGACAGCGUCAGAAGCGUCUCGCCUGGGCUAAAGACAAAAAGGACUGGACUGCUGCUGAGUGGUCCAAAGUUAUGUUCUCUGAUGAAAGUAAAUUUUGCAUUUCCUUUGGAAAUCAGGGUCCCAGAGUCUGGAGGAAGAGAGGAGAGGCACACAAUCCACGUUGCUUUAGGUCCAGUGUAAAGUUUCCACAGUCAGUGAUGGUUUGGGGUGCCAUGUCAUCUGCUGGUGUUGGUCCACUGUGUUUUCUGAGGUCCAAGGUCAACGCAGCCGUAUACCAGGAAGUUUUAGAGCACUUAAUGCUUCCUGCUGCUGACCAACUUUAUGGAGAUGCAGAUUUCAUUUUCCAACAGGACUUGGCACCUGCACACAGUGCCAAAGCUACCAGUACCUGGUUUAAGGACCAUGGUAUCCCUGUUCUUAAUUGGCCAGCAAACUCACCUGACCUUAACCCCAUAGAAAAUCUAUGGGGUAUUGUGAAGAGGAAGAUGCGAUAUGCCAGACCCAACAAUGCAGAAGAGCUGAAGGCCACUAUCAGAGCAACCUGGGCUCUUAUAACACCUGAGCAGUGCCACAGACUGAUCGACUCCAUGCCACGCCGCAUUGCUGCAGUAAUUCAGGCAUAAGGAGCCCCAACUAAGUAUUGAGUGCUGUACAUGCUCAUACUUUUCAUGUUCAUACUUUUCAGUUGGCCAAGAUUUCUAAAAAUCCUUUCUUUGUAUUGGUCUUAAGUAAUAUUCUAAUUUUCUGAGAUACUGAAUUUCGGACUUUCCUUAGUUGUCAGUUAUAAUCAUCAAAAUUAAAAGAAAUAAACAUUUGAAAUAUAUCAGUCUGUGUGUAAUGAAUGAAUAUAAUAUACAAGUUUCACUUUUUGAAUGGAAUUAGUGAAAUAAAUCAACUUUUUGAUGAUAUUCUAAUUAUAUGACCAGCACCUGUAUGUGUAUCUCAUACUGUCAUAAACUGUCAUAAACAUUGAAAUGAUUACUUGUGCCAUGGAAGUAAAAAAAAAAUGUAUAACUCUUUAAUACUAACUAUACUAACUUGUCUGUAGAAGUAGCCUACUAUAGUACAGUGAUGGUAUCAGAUGGUAAUAUGGUAAUACCGUGGUGCUGAAAUCCAUAGGCUAUGUCAUGGUAUUUACAUUAUGGUAGGCCUACUUUGAAUAGGUUACCAUAGUCAUGAUAUUUACUCUAUGUUCAAAAACACAUGAUAAUAAGGUGGUGCUUUUUGUGCUUUGUAGUAUAUAUAAAUAAGACUCUAUCUUUGUAAACACAGUAAUAAACUAUCUAGGGCAACCUGUUUCAUUUAUCUUGUGCACAGACCACUGACACAGGUGCAUAGUUUCCACAUGCCAUUUGUGUUGCUUUAUUCACUUGAACAGUUGCAUUUGCACUAAAGGAUGAGUGCCCCCUAGUGGCACUCACCAGUACAUCUCCCUUUUUUAUUUUCAUGUUCCCAUGUAACAAUCAACUAGUAGAUCAAAUAAAACUUCUUUCAACAUGUCUUUUUUUUUCUUCUUCUUCUUCUUAUUUUAACAUUCAUUUUUUUUUUUUUUUUGGUUUUGCAUACACAUAUAAUCACAUUCAACACUCCUCAAUAAGUCUUUUGGGCUUAACAAUUAAUCUCCUUGGCCUCACAGCUUUUUCUGCAUUCAAAGAUAAUGAUGGCGUAUUAUCUUUAGGAGUUUUCUUUGGGGUACUGUUUUGCCCAACAUCACUUUCAGUGCAGUUCUUUUGGAACCACAUUACAACUGAUCUCAACAUCCUUAAUGAAUUCCGUUUUUGGAAUUUUCAACAAAUUCCUCCUGUUUCUGUGAAGAGUAUUACCAUACUCAGUGAGUACUUCAUAAGAUCUGGGCAUGAUCUCUUUCAGAACCUUUGCUUUUGGUCCUUAUUUACCAUCACAUCUUACUCGCACCAAAUCUUUACAUUCCAGAGGGUGUAAAGGUUUUGCAUUUUUGUUAUAUUUGACAUUAGAGCUGCAUUUUCUUGGUGCAAAUUGGUCUUUGCUUUAUAUUAAAUGUUCAGCUGAGGGUAGCUUUGUCCUCAGCUUCCUACCCAUCAGUAGUUCUGCUGGAGAUUUCCCACCUUUUAAAGGUGUUGGCCUGUAGUUCAGGAUCGCAAGGUGAGGAUCUUCCCCAGCUUCAGCUGCUUUCUUCAGCAGACGUUUCACAAUCUGCACUGCCUUUUCAGCUAACCCAUUUGACUGUGGGUAAUACGGACUUGAUGUUAUGUGCUCGAAUCCAUACUGCUUUGCAAACUCUGAAUGUCAACCCACUGAAUUGAGGUCCAUUGUCACUAAUUAAAGUGACCGGGAUUCCAUGUCUCGCAAAAAUUGUUUUCAAAUAUGAGAUCAAGUGCUUUGCGGAGGUGUCUGUCAAUAAUGCAAACUCUGGAUAGUUAGAAUAGUAAUCCAUGACAACCAGGUAGUCUUUCCCACUCAGUUGGAACAAAUCAGCACCAACUUUCCUUCACGGUUCACAUAGUUUAAAAUGAGGUAAGAGUGGCUCUUUUUGCUGUUCGUAUCUGUGUUGACAAAUCUCACAGCGCUGUAUCGCAUAUAGGGCCAGUACAUCACAUCUCGGGCACGGCGUUUACAUUUCUCAAUACCCAUAUGGCCUUCGUGUACAAGCUCAGUCAUUUGUUGUCUCUUUGUAUUAGGGGCUACAAUCCUACUUCCUUUUAGAAGAACUUUGUCAAUGACAGAAAGCUCAUCUCUGAAAUGCUGAUGUGGGCUUGGUAGCUUCUCAUCUCCAGGUGAGUUGAUUUCACAAAUGACUUCCUGUAAUAUGCUGUCACUUGCUGUUGCGUCUGCAAACUCAAUCCACUUCUGUCUUGACCCGGGUAUCUGGCUCACUACACAAUCCACAUGAAUUUGAACAUCAUUUUCCGUGCUGCUUUUACCAGUGUGAUGCAGGCUGGCUCUGCUAAGACCAUCGGCCACUUACAGUAGUUUACCUGGAGUAAAGCAAAAUGUCAGAUGGUACUUCUGUAAGCGCAAGAGAAGACCCUGGAAGUGUGGUGGUGCAUCACCCAGGGCCUUCAUUGAAAUCACAAUCAGAGGUUUGUGGUCGGUCACUUCCCUGCCAUACAUGUAUUCAUGGAACUUCUCGCAGCUGUCUCUUUUUCUACAGUACCUGUAUGUAAUUUCUCUCUACUGCUGUCAUUGUGCGUGAUGUGUAUGCUAUGGGAAACCACUCAGUUCUGUGUUUUUGGAGUAAUAACACUCCAAGUCCGUCUUUGGACGCAUCGGUCGAUACUUUGACUGGUUUCUCUGGGUCAUAAAAUUUAAGCACUGGCACUUUGAUAAGGCUAUUCUUAAGUACUUCCCAUUCUCAAGCAUGCUGAUGCUUCCAUUGCCAUUCACUCUUUUUAUCCAGCAAACUGCGCAUUGCUUUUGUGUUGGCGGAAAGCUUGGGUACUCAUUGAUUAACCCCAGUGCUCUCUGUUUUGUCUUUAGGUGCUGGCAUGUCAACUAGCUCGUGUUUUUUCCAGGUUUGGCUGUAUUCCUGGCACGGAUAGCUUAUCUUAGAGGUAAGAGAGAGUCUCUGUCACUCCAAACUCACACUUUUGUCUGUUUAGUUUCAGUCCUGACUUUUGUGCUUGUUUUAACUCUUCACAGAGUCUUUUGUCUUGCUCAUUUUGUGUUUUCCCCCAUAUUAUAUCACACAGGAAUACUCCCACACCUUCCAUACCAUCAAACAGCUGUUGCACUGUUCUGUGAAAUACCUCUGGCGCCGAACAGAUACCAAAAGGUAUAAGCGAAGGAAACAGUGCUGCCUGAAGGGUGUAUUGAAAGUGCACAGGUUAGCACUUUCUUCAUCCAGGACAAUUUGGUAGAAACCUGAUGCAUCAAGUUUAGAGAAAUAACAUGCACCUGUAAUUGUGCUUGUUAGGUCAGUCUUUGUUGGCAAAUUGUUGUGCUCUCUUUUGAUCCACUUAUUUAAAUCUCUUGCAUGAAAAGUCUAAGAUCUCUGUUUAUCUUUUCCACAAUUACCAGAAAAUUUACCCACUCUGUUGGCUUCUUUAUUUUUCUUAUUAUUCCUUUCUUGAUCAAUGAUUGCAAUUCAGAUCUCAACCUUUCUUUGAGGGCUACUGGUACCUUCCUGGCUGGAUGUAUGACUGCUUGAGGAUUUUCCUUCAGCUGUAUCUUAUGUUUACCUGGUAAACAACCCACACCUUCAGAGACAUCUUGGUACUUGGUACUGUUUUACUCAUUAACGCUAGUUACCAUCUCAUUCUGUUUCUCCACUGUGUGACUCUGUGUAACUGCUUUACUGUUGAUCACAUGAACUCUCUUUAUGAGCCCCAAAUUUUCACAAGCCUUCACCCCAAGUAUAGGCUGUCUGUUACCUUCUACCUUCUGUUACCUUCUACCAGUACACACAUUACAUUCACAGACUGUGUGAUCCUAUAUACCCCUUUUGUGGGAAUCGACUCAUCAUUGUAAGUGCUUAUGCUUAUCUUUCUGUCAUGCAUUUUUUUCUCAGUCUGUCAAAAUCUUUUGUUGGCAGAAGGUUCAACUGCAUGCCAGUGUCCAAUUUAAAGGGUACAGUCACUCCUUUGACAUCCAGAUGAGCUAUCCGCACGUCCUUGGUGCUCACUUCAUCCACCACAGCCUCCACGAAGAACUGCUCGUCCUCAUCAUUGCUGUCACUGGUGUCUUUGGCUCUUUCAACAUCUCAAACUUUCUUUUUAGUCAAGCAGCAUCUUGCAAAAUGAUUUUUUCCACCAUACUUGCGACAGUCUUUGCCAUAAGCUGGGCAUUUCUAUGGUGCAUGGUUGGUACCACAUCUGUUAGUCCUUACUGUCCUUACGUCACGGUUUUUCUUUAACAGUUUUCUUUGCGCGUUCAUGCACAACAUCAUGCACAACGUCACAGUUUCUCAAGAGCGGCUGCACGAGCUCUGAUGACGACACAGCUGUUUCACAAUAGAGUACCUCAGAGAUAUCGUGUUUUUGUAGGACUUCCGUUUCCAUUGCACUAAAGUCUAUGGGUUUUUUGAAUGGGUUUUUGCUAAAUCGCCUGAAAUAAGGUCUGUGGUUAACAAAGCCUCUAAAUAUUUUCACGUUUUGAUCUAUGACAUGAAACACACCAGUUAUAACCCGCUUGUGAUUUUUUUUAAACAAAUUGCUAAAAGGGACUACUUCCUUUGGCAGGGACUUUAGACGUCAUCAUGACAAACAGGACAUUUGGACCGCAUUUCUCAUGAAAAAGUGGAUAAGUAUUCAUACACAGCGCAGAUCAUAAUCAGCGAGCAUGUUUUUAAACAAAGUUGUUUUCUAAAAAAAGUUUGAGGAAGCUUGGUGGUGGUGACGUUGAUCCGCGACCAUGGUGUGCUGUAGUCCGUUUAUAGCCUACUGUUAGAUUUUUAUAUCUGACGACUUUAUUUAGGCUUCAAAAUGUAUAAAUGUUGUGUUAACUUGUAAAGAUUAUCUUGAUAGACAAAACGUGUAAGUGUCAUAACCCUUUGUUAAACACAGAGCUUAUUUUUUGCGAUUUUCCAAAAGUCUAUGGGAAAAAUGCAUAGGCUUUCGAUCGAGGGAACCCGUGUGGCGCUAACUUCCGGGUUGGCCUACAAAAACACGUCAUCCCUGAGGUACUCUAUUGGCUAGAUUCACUGCAUGACAACGAUCACGUGUGUUUCGUGUUUAUUGUCAGGUCUUCAAUCUAUAUUUUUAUAACAGUUAAAGCUCUUUUCAUGUAGUUGCAAUGUUAUAUUGUGCCAUGUUUAUCAAAAUAAAACUGAAAAAAAGGACCCCACUACAUUGGUAUUUAAAUAAUAUAUGCUUAUGUUGAACUUUAUUCUUGUAAAAACAGACGCUGUAAGCAGUACAGAAAGUAUUUAAUGAAAAUGUCUCUGAAACAUCUGUGUAUUAGUCAAAUAUUGCAUUUAUUUCACUUAAGCUGUGAUAAAGUAUGCAAAUGCAGCGUGAGCGUCACUACGAGAAGCAGAAAGCGUCCGACUUCACGUCUCCGUUUUCAGCUCCUCCCCGCCUGCAUGCAGCUACUCUCGCCAUUCGGUUGCAUCCAGCUGAAAAAGUAUUCAAAAAGUAUUCUCGUCGCUUGAUAAUAUUAAGGUUGAACCACUGUACUCACAUGAAUUGUUUUAAAUAUGUCUUUAGUAGCUUUCUGGGCAUUGAAAAAGGAAAUUAUCUUGCAGGCGUCACUGAGCCAUCGGAUUUUAUCAAAAAUAUCUUAAUUUGUGUUCCAAAGAUGAAUGGUCUUACAGGUUUGGAAUGACAUGAUGGUAAGUAAUAAAUGACAUAAUUUUCAUUUUUGGGAGAACUAACCCUUUAAUCAUUGUUUAACACCUGCUAUAACCCUAGUUUCACCAUAUGAGUAGGUCUAUGUGAUAUCAACAAUGUGAAGACAUGUCUAUGUGAUACAGCAAAUUUCCUUUAAAUUAUUUCAUAGCAUUAUAAAAUGUUUCAUUCCAAGCUACAAAGCACAUGAAAUAAUACUGGAUCACGUAUAAUAAACUCACAACUGAAGCUGUACGACCCUCAUGUUUUUGUCUUUGUUUAAGCACUUCAGAAUAUAUUGAUGUAUUCUGGUUCCCUCCAUACAAAGUCUUUUCAAGAUCAAAUACACAAAUUUAAGAAAUAUUGAAUAACUUAAAAUAUCCGUUUAUAUAACAACAGAUAAGUUAAUGUGCCUAGAACAGGUGGUAAUACGCAACUGAACUAUCAUGAAUGACCUGCAGAGGGCAUCAUAGGAUAAAUAAAAACAUUUUCAGCUGGUUAAACUUAGAAAUGAAAGUUCACCUGCUGCCUUAAAAAUGUGAGUUAACUCACAAAUAGUCAAGACAAUGCAUUAUUUUAAGUUUAAAUUUUCGCUUAAAGUAAUGCGUUGUCUUGACUAUUUUUGAGUUGAAGCAAGGGAGGCAGUGCCUCCUCAAAAAAAUAAUCGAUAUUACAAAAAUAAAACAACGCAAAUGUUACAAAAUUUGACAUUAAAAACAGUGGCGGAGGCAGAAAGUGGAUGGUGGGUGGGCCUCUAAAAGUGUGGGUGGGCCAGAAUAAUUCGCAUCAUCCCAUGUUUUUCAACUGGCUCAAUUUGGGAGGGAAAAAAAUGAUGGACCGUCCCUCAGUGGCGUUCUUGUCACAUGACCUGCGGUGCGUUUGCGGCAUUCUGAAAAGUUGAGAAUUUUUCAUCUCGAAGCGCCUUGAAAACGCACUGCAUGCGCGUCGCUUCCAUUAUGAACACGGCUGCCGCGUGCCUAUAGGCUACAUUUGAAAUAACGAAUUUGAGCGCCCCUGAGUCCUGUAUCGACAACCUGCCAUACAAGUGGCUUAUAUCAGUGGCGUAACAUAGUAAUGACGGGCCCCCUGGGCUGCACAGUUAUGAAGCACAUAGCCUACAAGCACAUACGCGCUUGUCUAGAAGGGAACCUUACGCAAAUUUGUGUCUAACUUACUUAAUUUAGACCAACUAAAGUAUAGUGUUAGACCAACAAUAUCUUAUCAAUUAAUUAAAUAGCCUAAUAAAGACAUGUAUUUAAGAAAUUCAAUAAAAACAGAAUAUUGCUUCAGCCUUAUUCAAAGGCCGCGGAAAAAUUCGUUUGUUACGCACUUCAAUCCAUUCCACGCCCGACGUUCUUGGUUUUCUUCCUAUUUAUUAAAUAUAGGCACAUUGAUUGAAAUUAAGAUACAAUUUCUACAAAACGAAAUUCACUUUAAAGAAAGGCUUACUAUAAAACAAAACUUAAUGAAGUGGUCAAACUCAUGUCUGACCCGCUGCAUGUCUCCCGACAUUGCAUGCGCAUCCGUCAUGCUAUUCACUUUUCAUAAUCAACAUAGGUGAAAUUUAAAAAAUAAUAUUAGGCUCUAUAGCCUAAUAUAUAAAUAUAAAUAUGAAACUAAAUUGGCUAUUUUUAUCCCUCUGGCCGACGAACGCGCCGGCGCGUUCUGAUGGAUUUUUUUCCUCAUGACAGAAACAACUUAAAAUAGGCCUUUCGUCAUUUUUGGCGAUAGCCUACAGAUUGGUGCAAGACUACAAAUGGUCUACUUUUAUUCGUGUACGCUCACAAUAACAACAAAACCUUGUACUUUUGUAAAAUAAAAUAAAUAAAAAACAGGGUGCGCUUUCAGCUGUCUGUGUUAAAUAAGAGGCGAUCUAUCCGCUGGAAUGUUGUUUUUGAAAUCAUGGCCAGUGCUCGUUGCUGCUGUUAUCAGUUCUCUUGGCGCUCGUGCACAUGCUCAGUCUUCACACAGACAAUUGAGCGUUUCGUUCUGGUAAAAGCACAAAACAAAAUGCACACAACGUGUCCUUGCUCUUGAUGUACAAUCACUGAUGAACACCUUUGGUUUUAAUGAGAAAAAAAAAAAAAGAUAUGAGGUUGGAUUAGAACCCAGAACCUCAAAAACGCUUGCCAAGAAUUCUACCACAAGACCUUUACAGUACACAGACGGAAUCAACGAAUUUAUGUAUAAAUACUCACUGCUGUAAAGAAUUUCGGCACUAAUUAUAUUGUAUUAUUAAUAUUUAUAUUUAUCUUAAUAUUUAUAUUAAUAUAGUCACUUCGUCGCCAGGGGCCGCUUGCAAUGUGGCAGGGCCCACGUGCGUUGCGGGCCUCCCCGCCUCACGGGCCCCAGUGCGGCUGCACUGUCUGUAGUUACGCCACUUAUAUGUGUACAUUUCAGAAAACCCCUUGCUCACAAAUUACAUGCAAAAAAUAUUGCAUUAUCAUGCCACGGCGGGCCAGACUAAACACUUAUAGCUUACCUUGUAUGGCUCAUGUCUGUUCUAAACAAGUCAGAGUUGGCUGGGUUUUGAAUUGAAGAUGUUGAUAUUGUCAUAAACUCAUUUAGCCUAUCUGUUAGUUCUCAUUCAAACGAUAAAAGUUGUAACGGCGUCCUGUCAUCUUUGUCAAGACGUUUUUCUUUAUUAAAUGCAUCACAGAUAGCGGGUUAGCCAUUUUUUUACAUAAAAAGGGCGCUGCUGGUUGAAAUCCGGCUAUUUACAUAAUAGCUACUACUGGCGUGUGAUGUAACUGAAGAAGAGACGAAUUAGCAUAUUCUUAUUAAGAGUUUUAAUGCAUAAAAAAAAAAAAAAAAAAUCAAAUUUAAAAAAGUUAUUGAAGAAUUGUUAAACGUUAGAAAAAUGUUUUAUUAUAUAUAUAUAUAUAUAUAUAUAUAUAUAUAUAUAUAUAUAUAUUUCCCUGGAUCUGACUGGGUGGGCAAGCUGUCAAUCUGGUCCCAGGUCCACCCAGGUCCACCCGUAGCUCCGCCCCUGAUUAAAAAGUGUAAAAGUCACUCGUUUUUUUAAAGAAACACUGUCAAACAGCGACACCUGCAGGUGAAGUUACGGUUGGACGGUUACGAUUGGACAUGAUUGGUUCGUGCGAUAAAUCCCGCCUCUUGUUUUCGUGCGCGUUCUCGUCGAAUCGGCCUGAAUGAAGACAGUGAUGGCGUUAAUGGGAAGACUAAUUAAAAAGUAAGUAAACAACUGUCACUUAGAUAUCAACACUUUAUUUCAUGUCAAAAUCAAACUCGAAAUGGCCUGAAAACAUGAUGACUGCGAGGGUUUUUAGUGAGCAAUCACCGUGGUGAAAUUAAAGGUAGCCUUGUGUCUGUGGGUGAGUGACCAGUGUGAAGCUUGAUGACUGCUGAAAAUAAAUUGACUAUUAAUAAGAAAAGCUGAACAUUAGUUUAUAAAUAAUAUAUAUUGUUUAAACUUUUACUGCCUUUAGUUGUUAUUUUGGAAUACAAACAUGCGUAAAAACACUAACUUGAUUAAAUUUAUGCUUGGUUUUAAUAAAUAGAACAUUACAUAGUGUAAAAAUACAAAAUGUAAUUGUAUUUGGUCUCUCUUUUUAUGUAAUGUUAACUUAACCAGGAAAAUUGUGUAACGGGACAUAAAUGAGAACGUUGCCUCUUCAUUUUAAAACACCACCGCACACCACUGAAGUUUUGCCUCUAGAUGGCACCAAAUGAAAAGUGAUUCAUCUGUAUUCUCACAUCACGUCACCAAACUGCAGCUGCCAAAAUGAGAGAAAAUGGCUCGUAUUUUCUUAAAGUAGUUGCAAUAAUUAUUUAUGUGUGUAUAAAUUAAAUUAUGAUUAUGAAAUAUUAGCAGCAUAUUUAAAAUGAAAUGCUACACAACUCAAAUAGUUCUGGAAAUUAUUAAGGUUAUAAAAAUGUUUCCUAUUUACACAAAACAUCAGUGGGCUACUAAGAUUUACAUUACUAAAGAAAAUGAAGAGAAACACGAGGCAUUUCCUGAUCUUUUUUCUUGGUGUUUAUUGUAAGUAUUGCAUUUUAACUCACAGCUAGAAUCAGAGUGCAUGUUUACAAAGAAUGGCCACAAGUUCAUCAGGACCUCUGUCCUCCCAGGGUGGAAAAGCUUAGCCUUUAACAGACCCCUUUUCCCGAGUCUCUUGAAAAAGAAAAAAAAAACACAGAUGCUGUUUCAGGAUCCGUUUAACGUUUUUCUUUUCCUCCGUAGCGACUGAGAUCACAUUGAUGUGGGAGAGCUGAUCCCAGACCAGCACCAUUUCUCUUGGAAGUGUCGUUGAAUACGGGCCUGGGUCGGUACGGUGG
Ctenopharyngodon idella (grass carp) is the source of this 10711-nucleotide long non-coding RNA. RefSeq lists it as uncharacterized. The transcript is spliced from 3 exons. NCBI's taxonomy places the organism in Eukaryota, Metazoa, Chordata, Actinopteri, Cypriniformes, Xenocyprididae. The record is from RefSeq and is a predicted model, not a curated record.